GUAGCUAAUACCGCAUGUGCUCUACGGAGUAAAGCUUUUGCGCUUACAGAUGAGGGUGCGUCCUAUCAGCUAGUUGGUGAGGUAAUAGCUCACCAAGGCUAUGACGGGUAGCUGGUCUGAGAGGAUGAUCAGCCACGCUGGGACUGAGAUACGGCCCAGACUCCUACGGGAGGCAGCAAGUGGGAAUAUUGCACAAUGGACGAAAGUCUGAUGCAGCGAUGCCGCGUGGGGGAUGAAGGUUUUCGGAUCGUAAACCCCUUUUUAUCGAUCAGGAAGAUAUGACCAGUCGAUGAAUAAGCACCUGCUAACUACGUGCCAGCAGCCGCGGUAAUACGUAGGGUGCAAGCGUUAUCCGGAAUUAUUGGGCGUAAAGAGUUGCGUAGGCGGACUAUCAAGUUUUUGGUGAAAUCCUUCGGCUUAACCGGAGAACUGCCAAGAAUACUGGUAGACUUAGAGGGAAUCAGGGGGUACUGGAACUCGUGGUGUAGCAGUCAAAUGCGUUGGUAUCACGAGGAACACCAAAGGCGAAGGCAGGUACCUGGGAUUCACCUGACGCUAAGGCACGAAAGCGUGGGGAGCGAAACGGAUUAGAUACCCGUGUAGUCCACGCCGUAAACGAUGGAUACUAGAUGCUUGGGGUAUUGACCCCCUGGGCGUCGCAAGCUAACGCGUUAAGUAUCCCGCCUGGGGAGUACGGUCGCAAGACUAAAACUCAAAGGAAUUGACGGGGGACCGCACAAGCGGUGGAGCGCGUGGUUUAAUUCGAUGUUAAGCGAAGAACCUUACCGAGGUUUGACAUGCUACUGCAAAGCCUAUGAAAGUAGGCCUCCUUCGAGGGUGUAGCACAGGUGUUGCACGGCUGUUGUCAGCUCGUGUCGUGAGAUGUUGGCUUAAGUGCUAUAACGAGCGCAACCCCUGUGAUAAGUUGUAUCACUCUUAUCAGACUGCCUGCACUUAUGUGCAGGAGGAAGGCGGGGACGACUUCAAGUCAUCGUGGCCCUUAUACCUCGGGCUACACACGCGCUACAAUGGUAGAUAACAACGAGUUGCAAGUCAGCGAUGACAAGCUAAUCUCUUAAACUCUAUCUCAGUCCGGAUUGCAGGCUGAAACUCGCCUGCAUGAAGUUGGAAUCGCUAGUAAACGUGGGUCAGCACACCGCGUUGAAUACGUUCUCGGUCCUUGUACACACCGCCCGUCAAGUUGGGAAAGUUAGGGGCACCCGAAGACCCAUUAGCAAAGCCGGAAGGAAGCGUGGGUCGAAGGUGAAACUAGCGAUCAAAGCUAAGUCGUAACAAGGU
This 1299-nucleotide ribosomal RNA is filed under the name metagenome. Its description in RNAcentral is "bacterial SSU rRNA". It matches the Rfam family "Bacterial small subunit ribosomal RNA", at positions 159 to 1497 of the family's 1533-position model. The record is from RNAcentral.